RNAcentral lists this ribosomal RNA (253 nucleotides) under uncultured bacterium. RNAcentral's name for it is "partial 16S ribosomal RNA". It matches the Rfam family "Bacterial small subunit ribosomal RNA", at positions 524 to 776 of the family's 1533-position model. The record is from RNAcentral.
UACGUAGGGGGCAAGCGUUGUCCGGAAUCAUUGGGCGUAAAGAGCGCGUAGGCGGCCCUGUAAGUCCGCUGUGAAAGUCAAGGGCUCAACCCUUGGAUGCCGGUGGAUACUGCAGGGCUAGAGUCCGGGAGAGGCGAGUGGAAUUCCUGGUGUAGCGGUGAAAUGCGCAGAUAUCAGGAGGAACACCGAUGGCGAAGGCAGCUCGCUGGGACGGUACUGACGCUGAGGCGCGAAAGCGUGGGGAGCAAACAGG